RNAcentral lists this small RNA (107 nucleotides) under Marmota monax (woodchuck). Lineage: Eukaryota; Metazoa; Chordata; Mammalia; Rodentia; Sciuridae. The record is from RNAcentral.
GCCAGGUGCAGUGGCUCACACCUAUAAUCCCAGCUAUUCAGGAGGCUGAGGCAGGAGGAUCACAAUUUUGAGGCCAACCUGAACAACUUAAUGAGACCCUGUCUCAA